Molecule: ribosomal RNA, 773 nt
Filed under: uncultured bacterium
Lineage: Bacteria
Description: bacterial SSU rRNA
Rfam family: Bacterial small subunit ribosomal RNA
Source: RNAcentral
GCUGGCGGCAGGCCUAACACAUGCUAGUCGAACGGAGUUAUAUUGUAGCUUGCUAUGGUAUAACUUAGUGGCAGACGGGUGAGUAAUGUAUAGGAAUCUACCUANUAGUACGGAAUAAUUGUUGGAAACGGCAACUAAUACCGUAUACGCCCUACGGGGGAAAAAUUUAUUGCUAUUAGAUGAGCCUAUAUUAGAUUGGCUAGUUGGUGGAGUAAUAGCCUACCAAGGCAAUGAUCUAUAGCUGAUCUGAGAGGAUGAUCAGCCACACUGGAACUGAGAUACGGUCCAGACUCCUACGGGAGGCAGCAGUGGGGAAUAUUGGACAAUGGGCGAAAGCCUGAUCCAGCCAUGCCGCAUGAGUGAAGAAGGCCUUUGGGUUGUAAAGCUCUUUUAGUGAGGAAGAUAAUGACGGUACUCACAGAAGAAGUCCUGGCUAACUCCGUGCCAGCAGCCGCGGUAAUACGGAGAGGGCUAGCGUUAUUCGGAAUUAUUGGGCGUAAAGGGCGCGUAGGCGGAUUAGUAAGUUAAAAGUGAAAUCCCAAGGCUCAACCUUGGAAUUGCUUUUAAAACUGCUAAUCUAGAGAUUGAAAGAGGAUAGAGGAAUUCCUAGUGUAGAGGUGAAAUUCGUAAAUAUUAGGAGGAACACCAGUGGCGAAGGCGUCUAUCUGGUUCAAAUCUGACGCUGAGGCGCGAAGGCGUGGGGAGCAAACAGGAUUAGAUACCCUGGUAGUCCACGCUGUAAACGAUGAAUGUUAAAUAUGGGAAGUUUUACU